This 1365-nucleotide long non-coding RNA is filed under the name Sus scrofa (pig). RNAcentral describes it as "lncRNA (ENSSSCG00070026145.1)". The record is from RNAcentral. Lineage: Eukaryota; Metazoa; Chordata; Mammalia; Artiodactyla; Suidae.
AAUCUGACUUCGUGGCGGCGCGCAGCGACUUCCGGUGGGCGCCUUCCGUGGUCCAGCGCGCAGGCGCUUAAAGGGGAAGUUCCCGGCAAGAGAGCUGCGCUCUCCUGGGAAGCUGCGGGUUCUCGUACUCUUUCCAAGUGUGAUAAGCUUGCUAAAGAAGACUUCAACCUUUGUGCGUGUGUGACUGCAACUAUCGAUUUAAGUGAUCACCAGCUGCUUGUUGCCCUCCUGAGUGGACAAAGUCUACCUACAGAACCACUUGCAAGCCCUGGGAUUCAGCUUUGUCCUGCUGUUUCCAAAUUUGAGUGCUCAAAUAUUGACUCCGAGGACCUUCCAUGCCAGAACCACCCAAGGUGAAACUCUGGAUACCCUUAAGAGACAGCUCUCCUACCUCCUGGAAUGAGUGGGCUUUAUUUCGACUGGGGCCCCAUCCUAAGGUAACAGUCCCUUUUGAUCGCCUGCUGUCGUGUCUGGAGCCCAACUAUAUUCGCCAGCCUUUACAGAUGCGUUAGCAGAAUUGAAUGAAUAAUGUCUGAAAGCAUUUUGGAAGCAAUCAAACAUUAGAAAGUUGAUGAAUAGGUAUGGCAGUGUAUUUACUAAAGAGAUUGUAAAUGUCAGAAUUUAUCAGAGGACACUUGUUGGUUUUAAAGAUUUAUGUAAUAUUUAAAUGAAUUUUGGCACUUUUGGUAGGAGGGAUAGUUUUCUCGAAUUUUCAGAGCUUUCAGUGUGGGAAGCAAAGCAUUAGGGAAUUCUUUGAUUUCAAGGUUUUAAUAGCAGAGACAGGAGUGUGGCUUAUAUGAAUACCAGUUUAACAAGGGUUUAGUGGUCCUUUAAAAGACAAAGUUCUAGGACCAACUGUUUUAGUUUAUUAUAAAAAAUACCAAUCAUGAAAAACUGUGAGAAAUUAGUACUGUGGGGUCAGAGAAGUGGUCCUUGAAGAAAGAGCACUUGAGUUGACAUCUGAAAGACAGGAAGGCAUUAACCAGGGAGGAGACAGAUUUUUCAGAAAGUAAUGGGCAAAGCCUCUGUUGUCAGGGGAAGUGUGGUGUACCUGAAGACUAAACAAAUUCUGGCAUGUCCAGAGCGCAGAAUGAAAGGGAGAAUAGUGCGAGAUAGGGCUGGAAGGAGAGGCAGGGACAGGACAGUGGAGGCAUCCAGCAGGCUCUCUUAUAAGUCUUGAUCUUCAUCCUAAGAACAAGAGACAGUGUUGAAGUGUUAACAGGGCACAUGAUUCCUUGUUUCAAAAAGAUUACUCUGGCCGACUUUGGUUAGAGCACAUGUGGGGAGACCAGUCAAGGCUAUUGGAGUGGUUCAGGCGUGGGCCAGUGGUAGCUUGGAUUAGCAGAGGAGUGAGUGAAAGGGAAG